UCCGGUAAAGCAAGAAAUCGCGAGCGCGAGCGCGACGUUGCCAUAUCGCUAGACGCGGAGCGACAUUGCGCCGCCGCCGACGACACCGCGCCGGCACCGCACUGGCUGCCUGCACUUGUUUGUCAGUCGCCACUUGACCUUUGACAUCGAAAGUAUCAAACGAAAGUAAUCGAAAAGUGUGUGAGUGAUUGAUUAGAUUAUUCCGUCGAGAUAAACCGUAUAUGAUAUUAGUAAUUAAAAAUGUCGCAUUCGAAACCACAAAGACAUCAGGAGCAGGAUGAAAAUGAUGAAAGUGAAGACACUGGAAAAUCUCUGUGGGACUAUUUCACAAAAAGACCUAAUAAAGAAAACGAAGCGCAAUGCUCAUUAUGUUCAAAGAACCUGAAAAUAAGCAAAGGUUCUUUCAAAGGUUUAAAGGUUCAUUUAGAUAAAAUACACUGCAUAAACAUAAGCUCUGAAAAUAGUAAAUUAAAACGGUCUUAUUCUAAAGUAGUUUCACAAGCGUCCACAUCAAAACCUGAUACGGAAACAGUUGAAUUAUUAAGUAAUGAAGAAGACAAUAUAUAUAUAAAACUAUAUAGAUUAUUAAUAAGAGUUUAAUAGUAUUAUUAGUUAUUACUUAAGUACUUUCAGAUACUUACAUGCAGCAAGUCAGACUGAUUAAUUACUUUACAAAUAGUACCAAAAAUUACAAUUAAUGCCAAGAAAUAUAAUUAAAAGUGAUUUCAUUUUCCA
Helicoverpa zea (corn earworm) is the source of this 735-nucleotide long non-coding RNA. RefSeq lists it as uncharacterized. The record is from RefSeq and is a predicted model, not a curated record. The transcript is spliced from 2 exons. NCBI's taxonomy places the organism in Eukaryota, Metazoa, Arthropoda, Insecta, Lepidoptera, Noctuidae.